This 443-nucleotide ribosomal RNA is filed under the name uncultured bacterium. RNAcentral describes it as "partial 16S ribosomal RNA". It matches the Rfam family "Bacterial small subunit ribosomal RNA", at positions 338 to 795 of the family's 1533-position model. The record is from RNAcentral.
CCUACGGGCGGCAGCAGUGGGUGAUAUUGGACAAUGGGGGAAACCCUGAUCCAGCGACGCCGCGUGAGUGAAGAAGUAUUUCGGUAUGUAAAGCUCUAUCAGCAGGGAAGAAAGAAAUGACGGUACCUGAGUAAGAAGCCCCGGCUAACUACGUGCCAGCAGCCGCGGUAAUACGUAGGGGGCAAGCGUUAUCCGGAAUUACUGGGUGUAAAGGGAGCGUAGACGGUAAUGCAAGUCUGGAGUGAAAGGCGGGGGCGCAACCCCCGGACUGCUCUGGAAACUGUGUAACUGGAGUGCAGGAGAGGCAGGCGGAAUUCCUAGUGUAGCGGUGAAAUGCGUAGAUAUUAGGAGGAACACCAGUGGAGAAGGCGGCCUGCUGGACUGUAACUGACGUUGAGGCUCGAAAGCGUGGGGAGCAAACAGGAUUAGAUACCCGGGUAGUC